This 1310-nucleotide long non-coding RNA is filed under the name Zea mays. RNAcentral describes it as "long non-coding RNA (ZMAY_LNC004324)". The record is from RNAcentral. Lineage: Eukaryota; Viridiplantae; Streptophyta; Magnoliopsida; Poales; Poaceae.
AAGAAUACAAGCCAAACACACACUCUCCAAGCACUAGCAGUGGCAGUAUAUACUACUAGGAGAAGAUGAUGUUCCUGCCUUCUUCUCCACGCGGAAGUUACCGGGAGUACCUUGUGCAACUGCUUGCUGCCAUCGUCAUUGGACUGCUCACGAUACCUAGCGCCGUUUCUCCUACUUCACUAGUGAGUAUAUAUAUAUAUAUAUAUUAAUUAAUGUGCAAACCUUGGUUUUGCUAUUUCCGGAGGUUCCUUGCUUGCCUUGUCAUCUGACAUCAGAUCUUAAUUACUACUACCUACUGUUUUUGCAGCCUGUUGAUCAGCAUCGCUGUGUUGAUCCCGACCGCUGUCUCCAGUAUGGCCUCCACAUAAAAUGUGAUCUGCUGUAGAAGCUACAUACAGCCACGUGCAUACAAGGGCACACUUCUUUCCACUCAUCUCCAGCCGCCGUACGUCUUCGUGUGUGUGCUCGUCACAACACCAUAGACUAGAAAAACAAACGAGCUACUACUACUUGAAAUGCAUACUAGUUAAUAAAGUGAACCUUUUCUGCUCUCGUUUGUUCUAGAAAUAUUUUCACAUUGCUUGAAUGCUUGAUUGACAUGAAACAUGUCUUGGGCUAAUACACUAGUACACAGAUGUUCUAUAGCGACGGUUGUGAACAUAUUUACACUAUCGUUUUUCAGAACUGCCAAUGUUGUACAUCACAGAUAUCACAUAAUCAUCACAUACAUAAUAGAGACCACAUAUUUCACCAAAAAACACAAAUCUCACAAUUUUUUCACAAACAUGUCUAUGUUCAUACCAAGUUUCACCAACAUAAGUAUUACCAACUCUAAAACAUAAGUUUUUCACAAACAUAAGUUCAGAACAAGUUUAUCACACAAAGUCUCACAAUGACCACUAAGCUAAGAGAAGAUCAUCAGCGAGGUGGGCAGCUGGACUGGUGAGGCGAUGGGCUGGGCGAUUCAUGAGGGUUAUUGGAUGCCACCCCAAAUUGUUCCUGCAUAGAGCAGAGAUUGCAUGUGUUAUACCAGAUAAAUAUAUAUUAUGCAAGACUAAAAUUUUGAUACUCACAGGAGUAUGGAACUGAGCAAGGUCAACUGGAGGGAACAACGGAGGUGGUGGAGCAAAACCUUGUGCGGCGCCAAGGCUCUGCAUGUACUGAAACAUCUCUGCCAUCCUCUAUUGAUCUGCCAACCGGGCCUCCCACUCCGCCAUCAUCCUCGCCCCCAUCUCAUGUCAUUCCCUCCUCUCUUCUUCUAGCUGGGCAUGUAAUAUUUCAACCUAAAGUUAUAAUAACUCAAAGAGAAG